Oreochromis aureus is the source of this 549-nucleotide long non-coding RNA. NCBI's taxonomy places the organism in Eukaryota, Metazoa, Chordata, Actinopteri, Cichliformes, Cichlidae. The record is from Ensembl.
CUUCCCAGCAGUUUCCCUGUUCUUCACUUACAAUUACAAUGUCCUCAGGUUUGUCAUCCUCUGUUGCGUUAUUCCCGUAAGGUCUUCCAUCUGUAUCAUAACUAGUUUCCAUCAGACAACCAGUCACGUCCAUGGAUUGCUGUUCUUGAUAAGUUGGUGGAGAGGAGUCUUGUUCAUUGGAUAUGUUGGCCAUAGACAACGGCACUGUACUUGCAGUCACCUCUUCAUCCAGCUCGUUUCGUGCUACCAUUAACUGCUCCUCACUAUGAGCGAUGUAGCCGUGCGAGGUGGAGGAGGAGGUGGUUGAGGGAUGAAGACAUCAUCUGCACCUUCAUCAUCCAUCACACUGCAGUACCUCAUUAUAGCAGUGGGAGCAGCAGAGACCACUAUCAUCAUCAGAGAGCAGAAUUUGAGGGCUGCGUCUAGGACCUCUUCCUUCCAUGUUGAAAGGUCUUUGAAGCAGUUUGUGGUGUUCUGUCUGCGUUGCCUUUUAAUUUCCUUUAAGUUUAAAUAAGAGACAUGAGUGUUAUUGAGGCUGAUAAGUGUCAG